GGUUCUAACAGUAAAUAGCAGGCAAGUGAAUGACAAAGCAGAAAUGAUAACAGGCAAUCAAAUGGAUAAACGAUUCCUAAGGAUGGGGUAAUCGUAUAGCGUGGUCUACUUGAUCUAUUCAGGCGGUUGACAAAACUUCACAGAAGCUAUCCCUAGACAACAAGUUCAACAACAGAUUAAUUCACUCCCGUGAUAGAAAUCCUCAAGCAAAGCUAGACACUGACCUAAAUCUCUUUAGCGAUCUCUAACUAAGCAGGCAUUAUCGAAUCAACAUGUUAAAGUUAAUACCCUCUCUUCAGCCAAUCCCUUGGGGUAGAGUCAGAUAUCUCUAGAAUUAAUAGGAUCCAACGCCCAUUAAACGCCUUCUGAGCGCUGGACGUCUGGACUCAUACUCCAGAUUAGCCAGUGAAACAAGCAAUAAGCGCAACUAAUCUAGAAGGGAUUCUAGUAUUCUAAACUCAACCACCUAAAACGACCAAGUAAACCACAACUAUUCUAUCCCAUCCUCAGAAAUACAGUUCACUACUCGGACAUAAUCAAAGACAAUAGCAAAGCAACAAUUGAAAACAUGAUAACAGAAAUGACGAAAGACUUAAACGAAAACUGAAUAACAAAUACUUGAAAGUGAAAAUACAAAGUCGCAAGAGAAACACUGCGUCUAUCAAAGUUGCAAAAAUGUAAAAGCGAGAUAAUAAUGGAUAAUAGCGGAUGCCCUAGGGAAAACCCUAAGAGGCAGUUUAUAUAAGCGAAAAAUGAAACAAAUAAGGAAACUAAAUAUAUAGCAAAUCUUCACGUCAUGAUCCUGCGACCGAAUGUGUCAUUGGCAUCUGACGGGCUGAAAUGAGCUUCCUAGUGAUCGAGUAUGUCAUUGAUCAAACUGGGCUUCAGGGGUUCUGUUUUGCGAUCGAGUGAGAUGUAGUGAACUCGAGAUUGAAUGAUCUAGCGACCCUGUGUCGAGUGCGAUCGAGUGGAUGUCAUGAGGUGGUGAUCGAGUGGUUUCUUCGGCUUCUUUUCUCUUCUUUGUUCUUAGCUUGUCUGGUUGAGUGCAGAACGAGCAGAUAGGCUUCUUGGUGGUCGAGUGGUGAUCGAGUGGUCCUGAUGGGGUGAUUCCUCCGGCUUCGCGAUUGAGUGAAACUGAGCUGCUUGCUUCUCCGGGGUUGCGAUAGAGUGAUUUGCCCUGGCAGGGCUCCGAGGCUGCGAUAGAGUACUUUUGCUGAAGGCGUCAUUGGGCAUUCCGACUUCAUGUUCUGUUUUUCCUCUGUUUGAACUCCAAAAGCAUCCAAAGUACCUGAAAACAACCAAAUAUGCCAUGCACAUGCAAUCCUGAUGCAAAAUCGUCCUAAGUAUGUAAAACACACUGAAACGACUCCUAAUGAGAUGAUUUGUGGAUGAAACAAUGACAAAGUGGUGAAGAAUGAAUGCCUAAAUCAUGCAAAUUAUAGACAUAUCAAUAUGCAUUCUUAACGAGUUCGAUUGUUCACCUUAGUAGCUAGGCCGAUUCUUAUUACGCACCUAAAUACCAAGCUCAUCAAAUAAUAGAUUCAACUACAGAUACCUAUGGCGGGCAUAUCUAUUGUCUAGAUUCAAGAUCUAGUUAAUUACUCUAGAUCUAGCAUUAAGCAUAAUUAAAGAUGAAGAAUUCUACAGAAAACCUAGCAAAAGGGGCAAUCUACUAAACCAUAUGAAUCCCUAAUGAGAAACCCUAUUCCUAACAAGCAGAUUACUCAGACAUAUUGGAUGAAGCAAACAACAUAUUUGAGUAUGAAACAAAAACACAGUGA
Molecule: small RNA, 1781 nt
Filed under: Arabidopsis thaliana (thale cress)
Lineage: Eukaryota; Viridiplantae; Streptophyta; Magnoliopsida; Brassicales; Brassicaceae
Description: ATSL264480
Source: RNAcentral